RNAcentral lists this ribosomal RNA (253 nucleotides) under uncultured bacterium. RNAcentral's name for it is "partial 16S ribosomal RNA". It matches the Rfam family "Bacterial small subunit ribosomal RNA", at positions 524 to 776 of the family's 1533-position model. The record is from RNAcentral.
UACGUAGGGCGCAAGCGUUGUCCGGAUUUAUUGGGCGUAAAGAGCUCGUAGGCGGUCUGUCGCGUCGGCUGUGAAAACCCGAGGCUCAACCUCGGGCCUGCAGUCGAUACGGGCAGACUAGAGUGUGGCAGGGGAGACUGGAAUUCCUGGUGUAGCGGUGAAAUGCGCAGAUAUCAGGAGGAACACCGGUGGCGAAGGCGGGUCUCUGGGCCAUAACUGACGCUGAGUAGCGAAAGCGUGGGGAGCGAACAGG